CGAGUGGCGGACGGGGGAGUAAUGUCUGGGAAACUGCCCGAUGGAGGGGGGUAACUACUGGAAACGGUAGCUAAUACCGCAUAACGUCGCAAGACCAAAGAGGGGGACCUUCGGGCCUCUUGCCAUCGGAUGAACCCAUAUGGGAUUAGCUUGUAGGUAAGGUAACGGCUUACCUAGGCGACGAUCCCUAGCUGGUCUGAGAGGAUGAUCAGCCACACUGGGACUGAGACACGGCCCAG
Molecule: ribosomal RNA, 239 nt
Filed under: uncultured bacterium
Lineage: Bacteria
Description: partial 16S ribosomal RNA
Rfam family: Bacterial small subunit ribosomal RNA
Source: RNAcentral